UCUGCUCACUAGCUAAAAAAUCACUUGCUAUCCAAAAACAAAUUGAAGAGAAUUUGGUUUCCCCAUUAUUUAUGAUGCUUCUCACUUCAUGCAGAGAUGUAAUUCUAAAAAAGGAUACAUGGAAGGUUUAAGAGAAUGUUGGGAUCAGGGAGGGGGCUGCUCGCUAUAGCAGCUUUGUUCAUUCCUACCAACUACUUGUUUGCGCUAGUUUUAGAGAAAACUGCUGUGGAAAACUCAUCCAGAAGUGGCAAGUGAAUCCACAACAUCACCACAAACUUAUUUUUAAUCCAGGCAAUGAAGAGGAAGAAGAGGAGAAGGACUGGGACAGACAAAGAGUGAAGGAGAAAGAUUAGGAAAGUACCUCCAAAUCCGAGGCAAUGGUCCUCAGUCGGAAAAGGGUGGCUUGCCCACUUCAGGUUGGUGGAGAGUGCCUGCCUCAAGUGGAGGAGUUUAAGUAUCUAGGGGUCUUGUUCACGAGUGAGGGAAGG
Molecule: long non-coding RNA, 488 nt
Organism: Esox lucius (northern pike)
Lineage: Eukaryota; Metazoa; Chordata; Actinopteri; Esociformes; Esocidae
Source: Ensembl